CCAGUGGCGGACGGGUGAGUAACGCGUAAGAACCUGCCCUUGGGAGGGGACAACAGCUGGAAACGGCUGCUAAUACCCCGUAAGCUGAGGAGCGAAAGGAGGAAUCCGCCCAAGGAGGGGCUUGCGUCUGAUUAGCUAGUUGGUGAGGUAAUAGCUUACCAAGGCGGUGAUCAGUAGCUGGUCCGAGAGGAUGAUCAGCCACACUGGGACUGAGACAAGGCCCAGACUCCUACGGGAGGCAGCAGCC
Molecule: ribosomal RNA, 247 nt
Filed under: uncultured Pannonibacter sp.
Lineage: Bacteria; Pseudomonadati; Pseudomonadota; Alphaproteobacteria; Hyphomicrobiales; Stappiaceae
Description: partial 16S ribosomal RNA
Rfam family: Bacterial small subunit ribosomal RNA
Source: RNAcentral